GUUGAUAAUGUUGAAAAGAGUUUUAAAAAAGUUAGAUUAAUUUAUUUCUUUAGCCUUUCAACUUCACUUCCACUUCUUCCACUAGCCUUUCAAAUUCUGCUACUUUGCUGAAGACAAUAUUCAAAAAUAAAAAACGUCAUAGCAAUCAAUCGAUUCUAUUGGUUAGUAGGCAUACAUAGCUAAAUGACAAUGUUUGGGUAUUUCCACGCGUAAAGACCGCGUGGAAUCAGCAAUGCAGUGAAGUUACUGUUUCAGCUACUAUGAGCUACUUUAAGCCACUGAAUAGAAGCAGAAACCGCAAAAAAAUAGAAUAUAAAAUACCAAAUGAUGGUAUGGAUGCUGUGGUUGUAAUUGUAACGCGGAAUUUGUUCAAAAAUAUAAAUACGAAUACUUUAUACAUUUUUUUCGAAUUGUUAAGAUGGAGAUUUAUUAUUUACAACGAAUCUGUUCAGGAUCAUAUGGCAUCCAGAUGUUGCGUUUAUUGUUAAAUUUUAUCACAAUUCUGUAAAUUAAUUUUAUUAUAGUGGUUAACGAAGGUUUCUCACACACUGUUAGCACCUGGAAUUCUAGAACCUUCUAGAAUUUGCGUAAGAUUUACCACCAUUAUGCCUAGUCGUUUUUUAUCUAUAUUUUUUUUUUUAGAAUUAUAAAAGUGCUAAAAAAUUCUAAUCUCUCAGAGAAAUGAACAGUAUUAAUACAUAUGCUGUAUUUUGCUGUUGUUAAUUUUUUUUCAAUAAUCUUUAUUUUAUUUUAAAUGGCAAUAGGGAUUAACGAACGUUUGUCACAGGAGCG
This 792-nucleotide long non-coding RNA is filed under the name Androctonus crassicauda. The record is from RNAcentral. Lineage: Eukaryota; Metazoa; Arthropoda; Arachnida; Scorpiones; Buthidae.